RNAcentral lists this long non-coding RNA (546 nucleotides) under Homo sapiens (human). RNAcentral describes it as "PREDICTED lncRNA (TCONS_00011557)". The record is from RNAcentral. Lineage: Eukaryota; Metazoa; Chordata; Mammalia; Primates; Hominidae.
GGACCGCGCCAGGCGGAAGCCCGGCUCCGGGCCAGCAUCCGAGAGCCCGGACUGGAGGUGAGUUCGCAGCCGGAACGUUGCAGGCACUUGUUUCCUCAGUGGAUGCCUUUCGGCGCGCCGCCGCCCGGCGCCGCGGGACUGGGAGACCGGGAGUUGAGAAGAGGAGGAAGAAUAAUGGGAGGAGACAGGACCUUUUUCAACUUGACAAAUAGAUUUCUGAGAGAGCAGACACCAUCUUAUUUCUGUUGAAUUGUAUUUAGUAACUCAAAAGGCAUAUACCAAGCUGUCAGAAGCAGCUUCAUUUAAAAGAAAUAAAAUUUCUAGUCCUGCCUGAAGUUUAAGCUAGCCCAUGACUACACAAGUGCAACUGUAUUUCCCAGAAUUAAAGCAGCAGCCUUGGAUCCAGAGAUGGACGCCAAUUGAUGAAGACAGCAGAACUGACUGGCUAGUCUGGGUUCCCUGGAGCAGAGCUGUCUCUCCACCCUAGGUUAUCCACUUACUUUUGUACUGUUAUGUGAGAGAGAAAUAAACUUCUAUCUUCUUUAA